GGCUUGAUGGCGAAACUUGGUAUACGCACAACACUUAAAAUGUUGCGUUCCGGAAGGAACUUGGGGGUUCGAUUCCCCUUCGAGCCA
This 87-nucleotide transfer RNA is filed under the name Crassvirales sp. RNAcentral's name for it is "tRNA-Leu". It matches the Rfam family "tRNA". Rfam says of the family: Transfer RNA (tRNA) molecules are approximately 80 nucleotides in length. Their secondary structure includes four short double-helical elements and three loops (D, anti-codon, and T loops). Lineage: Duplodnaviria; Heunggongvirae; Uroviricota; Caudoviricetes; Crassvirales. The record is from RNAcentral.